UAGGGAAUCUUCGGCAAUGGGGGCAACCCUGACCGAGCAACGCCGCGUGAGUGAAGAAGGUUUUCGGAUCGUAAAGCUCUGUUGUAAGAGAAGAACGUGUGUGAGAGUGGAAAGUUCACACAGUGACGGUAUCUAACCAGAAAGGGACGGCUAACUACGUGCUAG
This 165-nucleotide ribosomal RNA is filed under the name uncultured bacterium. RNAcentral describes it as "partial 16S rRNA". It matches the Rfam family "Bacterial small subunit ribosomal RNA", at positions 355 to 511 of the family's 1533-position model. The record is from RNAcentral.